Lolium perenne is the source of this 3047-nucleotide non-coding RNA. The record is from RefSeq and is a predicted model, not a curated record. NCBI's taxonomy places the organism in Eukaryota, Viridiplantae, Streptophyta, Magnoliopsida, Poales, Poaceae.
GUCGACGGGUUCCUUCUCCUCCUAUCUCCCUUGCGCCCCCAUCCUGGCCGCUACCUCGUGCACAUCUCCUCCUCCCCAUCGCGUCUGCCUCAGCAGCAACAGCCGAAGUUCAGCCCAGAGGAACUGCAUGAACGCCGACCGCCACAUGUCUCACUUUAUCUAUGCCUACAAGGUGCUUGACAAAAUACCUGACUGUGAAGAGAUGAUUGCUUGGACUGUUCUGGAAAGUGGCGGUAGGAGGUACCGAAACCAUGAAAAAAUGCAAUUUUAAUAGAAACAUGGAAUGAGUUCUGAUUCUUCUCAUUUUAGUUACAAUCAUCUUUUUGAAUCUUAUUUUUUGGUAUUCAUGCUUCAUACAUUAUAUUUAUCCUUAAUCCAUGGCGGUCUCACUGCUCUUAUGCAUGUCCUGCAGUUUCGUCAAGUAUUUGAUACCCUAAUUUGUACUCUAAUGACUUCUGGUGGUAUAAUAUGCUCAAGGUUUGCAUACCGUAUACAAGUCAAGCAUAUUACUCCAAUAUCAUUCUACAAGUACCUACAAUUUUAUACAGAUGAUAAAAGCAUGUUGCCAUUACAAUAAAAAUAUACUCUGUUUUAGAGUAUGGUCCACUAAACUGUCAUGCAUUUUACUUAUUUUUAGGAUUUCGAUCCACCUAAUCAAACUGCAUAUUUAGAUGAGUUCUAGAUUUUGGCAAAACUCUAACUUUGUGCUGCUUCAGUUAUUCUGUUAAAUUUUCCAGGUUUACAUAUGAAUAUGCUCAAUUCUGCAUUAGUUUUGUGUACUUUUAUUUCUAUUACACCACAACUACUAUUUUGCUACACCUCUACUUUUUAGUCAUCCACUGGCUCUAAUUCAUUCAGCUCCCCUCCAUUGCUUUUUAACAACUUACAGCAGCAUUCUGGAAUGUGAGGAAACCUUGCCUGUAUGUGGCAUUGUUUUCUCUUUAUGCUCCUAAACCGCAUGAAAUAUUUCUUUCUUACUUUUCAGUUUAUUUAACACCGCUUUCCCAAAUAGGCUACAACUAUAUGUUUAGAUAGGACCACAUCAUUGCAAGGAACUAAAGACUAAGAUGUAUUUUUAACUACCUUUGUUUAAUUUAUACCACAUAUUAGAAUUUCACUACAAGGUACAAUCACAGUUGCCAGUCCCAGAACACAGCCCUAUGAUGAUAGGUAGUUUUUUUUUCCCAAUUCAGUUCAGUUUAGUCUGAUGCCUAUAGUAUGCCAGUCUGAUGCCUAUAGCAUGCCAUAUCUUACGAUUCUGUUGAUUGCAGAAUAUGUUGCUUGGUGACUGUAUCAGUGAUAGAUUGAGCAAGCUUGGCUUACAUGUCGUGUUGAUUUCAGACUUGGAAGGAGAAGCUAAUUGAGCAUCGUUCUCCAGUUCAGGCAACCACGUUCUGGAGCUACCUGUCAGACUACUACUUGAACACGAUGAUUGAAGUGGCGCGAUAGUACACAUGCUCAAGAGCUACCUUAACAUGUUCAGCUAACAAUCAUAUAGGCACCGCGUGCCUAGACAAUCAGAGUUGUACGUUCAGGCAAGAGGACUGCGGCAAAAUCUUCGCCGCUGCUCGAUGGAGGAGGGGGAUCGCGAUCUGCAAAAGGAGGUGCAGUGUUGGGGGCUUAUGAUGUGUCGCCACUACCUGGAGUCACUUUGUCGCCGUGACCAUUACCAUUGCCUAACAAGGUGAUUUAUCUAUUGUAUAUCACUCUGUCUGCUGAUGCACAUUUGAAAUUUUCUGAAAUUUAUGGGAACUGAAGGAAAAUAUGGAUGCAAGCAACAUGCACUUUUAUGCUUUUUUCUAUGCCAUAUAUAGUUGGUUACAGUUUUCUGAAAGUAAAGUGAGCUAAAUAUAUGUUCUUUCUAGCAAAAUCUAACUGGCAUUGCUGUUAUCGCAUUUAUUUCAGGUGACUUUCCUAUUGCACAUCACAAUUUCUGGUGACACAUAUGUGAAGUUUGUUGCAGAUUUUUGAAGUGAAGGAAAAUAUGGACACAACCAACAUGCCGGUUACUUCACUUUCUCUAUUCCACCUUUUAUAAUUAGAAACUUUUUGUAGAGAUCUAUCCAUCUAUGCAAGGAUCAGAAUGAAUGGUAGAAGGAGGUGUUGUCCGCAUACAAUCAAAUAGAAGGGUCGAGAAUUGUUUUAUGGUCUUUUUAUUUGCGGGGUUCCUUUCCUUGUGGAUGCCUGUUCCAUGAUUUCUUUGCCUUUCGCCUUGCCCGCUGACGUGUUUAUGUUGCCUCUGUGUUCUGUCUUUGCAUGUUUGGCGCCUUGUUGGGAUUGUCGUGUCGGUUCGCUGUGGCUGCUCCCGUUCGUCUGUUGUCCGGUUACGUUCUUGGGUCAGGAUUAAAAUUUGUCGACAAUUCUUUUCGUCUAGCAAAUGCAUCCUACUUACUAAUGGUGGCCCAGAUUACUGUGUGUCCAUAAGCUAUGUUUGUAAGACCAGCCAAUGGGACUGCACCUGCUGCCAAUGAGUGUGUCGUUGUGCCCGAUGAAUUGGUAUAUAGCAGGGGUGGAGCCAACCUGAUGAUAGAGCCUAAGUAAAAAUAAAUAAAGUCUGACUUACGUUUGCCCAUGGAAAUAGAGGAUUAGUUCGUUUCCCUUCAAGAAUCAAUAGUUGCAAUACCUUGAAGAAUAAUGAAGAAAUUAUGAUGUGUACGGAUUAGUGAAAGGCAAUGGAACCUGUGAUGGCUUGCUGAGAGCAGGAGAAAAACAUUUAUAGAGCCCCUUACAGGUGGCUGUAUGAUUAUACUUUUGCUUGGAUACUAUAUGAAGAAACUUAAAAAUGCGUUGAGAAAAUCCUCUUGACCCACUAAAUAUCCAAGGGUUCCUUAUUUAAAGUCCAUGGCUACUGAUCUGGUGAAACUGAUAUUGGUAGCAAGUUGAACUGUACCUCAUGGAUGACAAGAUAUAGUUAUGUCGCUUCAGGUUGUAGGAUAAGGUCAUUUGCCCAUUUCACUUCCAAACUAAAAACGUUGAAUACAAUUUAAUUGGUUCAUUCCUGAGUAUGUGCUUUCUUCCCAUCUAUUAUUAGAUUGUACGCCUUUUAA